AUACCCAUCCCAUCUCUUCAUCCAAGCAGAGGCCUCGCAACAACCCAUGAGAUCGGUGAUGACUGCCCCCAUUUGCCAGCUUUGCAGGGAGAGGUCAAGACCAAGACGAUCUUCAGGCCCAAGGGAGGCAGGGAGGAGGCUUGCAAAGCCCACCCCUGGGAAGAGAGGAGGAAGCUGAGGCUUGAGCUGGAGCUCAGAAAUGGGGCUGGAGUUCCUCAUCAUUAUCUCAACUACCCUUGCCUGCUGGCCUGGAGGAUGAGGCUGGGACUGAAUUCUGGGCUUGGCCUGUCUCCACUGAGUCUGGCUGGCCGCCCUGCCUGUUGGCAGCUUGGAGUGUGGGUGUCGAGCUGGGCAUCUGGUGGGCUGGCUGGAGCUGGAAGACCCUGGGAAAGAUGAGGCCUCGCAACAACCCACGAGAUCUGUGAUGACUGCCCCCAUUUGCCAGAUGAGAAGCUGAGGCUCGGAGAUAUUGAGGAAUCUGUCGAGCGUGUUGCUCCACAGAGCUGACAGCUUCCCACAGUGUGUGAGAUGUGCCACAGCCAGGGGAGAUCUCAGGAAAAAGAGGCCCUCUUC
Long non-coding RNA from Homo sapiens (human), 573 nucleotides. Lineage: Eukaryota; Metazoa; Chordata; Mammalia; Primates; Hominidae. The record is from Ensembl.